GACGAACGCUGGCGGCGUGCCUAAUACAUGCAAGUCGAACGCUUUUUCUUUCACCGGAGCUUGCUCCACCGAAAGAAAAAGAGUGGCGAACGGGUGAGUAACACGUGGGUAACCUGCCCAUCAGAAGGGGAUAACACUUGGAAACAGGUGCUAAUACCGUAUAACACUAUUUUCCGCAUGGAAGAAAGUUGAAAGGCGCUUUUGCGUCACUGAUGGAUGGACCCGCGGUGCAUUAGCUAGUUGGUGAGGUAACGGCUCACCAAGGCAACGAUGCAUAGCCGACCUGAGAGGGUGAUCGGCCACACUGGGACUGAGACACGGCCCAGACUCCUACGGGAGGCAGCAGUAGGGAAUCUUCGGCAAUGGACGAAAGUCUGACCGAGCAACGCCGCGUGAGUGAAGAAGGUUUUCGGAUCGUAAAACUCUGUUGUUAGAGAAGAACAAAGGAUGAGAGUA
Molecule: ribosomal RNA, 456 nt
Filed under: Enterococcus casseliflavus
Lineage: Bacteria; Bacillati; Bacillota; Bacilli; Lactobacillales; Enterococcaceae
Description: bacterial SSU rRNA
Rfam family: Bacterial small subunit ribosomal RNA
Source: RNAcentral